UACAACGAAAAGAAUUAUAAUGUUCGCUUUUUAUGUUACGCGCGCGAAAGACUAAUAAAAAUAUAAUAAAUUUUGAAAAAACCUAAAUUAAAAUACACACGAAAAUAAAAGGAGAAAUGUGUUUUCGUAUACAUACGUAAAAUCUGGAACCAAUAAUGUCGAAUGACCUUGAAUAUACACCAAAAUAAUUUAAUCGACGCCAACGCAAAUCUUCUGGAUCUGGUGUUGGUGGAGCGGUGACACAUUCUAAGCUUAGUUGAAGAGCUCUUCGUAAAUCAUCGUCUUCGUCUGUGUCAUCAGUUAUGUUUAAUGUAUGAGUUGCUUUAUUAUCAUUGUGAAGAUCUAAUCUCAAUUUAACAGAUUCAUCAAUAUCAUCCUUCUUAGUAUUUUCUAAACUUAA
Molecule: non-coding RNA, 400 nt
Organism: Megalopta genalis
Lineage: Eukaryota; Metazoa; Arthropoda; Insecta; Hymenoptera; Halictidae
Source: RefSeq, a predicted model, not a curated record